GUGCUCGCUUUGGCAACUCAGGUACUAAAGUUGGAACAGGUCACAGAUCACCAUGGCGCCCGUACAAGGAUGACACGCAAAUUCAUGAAGCGUUCCACACAUUU
Myotis lucifugus (little brown bat) is the source of this 104-nucleotide small nuclear RNA. The record is from Ensembl. Lineage: Eukaryota; Metazoa; Chordata; Mammalia; Chiroptera; Vespertilionidae.